GACGAACGCUGGCGGCGUGCUUAACACAUGCAAGUCGAACGGUGAAGCUCCAGUUUGCUGGAGUGGAUCAGUGGCGAACGGGUGAGUAACACGUGAGCAACCUGCCCCUGACUCUGGAAUAAGCGCUGGAAACGGCGUCUAAUACUGGAUACGAGAAGGGUCCGCAUGGGCACUUUCUGGAAAGUUUUUCGGUUGGGGAUGGGCUCGCGGCCUAUCAGCUUGUUGGUGAGGUAAUGGCUCACCAAGGCGAAGACGGGUAGCCGGCCUGAGAGGGCGACCGGCCACACUGGGACUGGGACACGGCCCAGACUCCUACGGGAGGCAGCAGUGGGGAAUAUUGCACAAUGGGCGAAAGCCUGAUGCAGCGACGCCGCGUGAGGGAGGACGGCCUUCGGGUUGUAAACCUCUUUCAGCAGGGAAGAAGCGAAAGUGACGGUACCUGCAGAAGAAGCACCGGCUAACUACGUG
This 468-nucleotide ribosomal RNA is filed under the name uncultured bacterium. RNAcentral describes it as "partial 16S ribosomal RNA". It matches the Rfam family "Bacterial small subunit ribosomal RNA", at positions 28 to 507 of the family's 1533-position model. The record is from RNAcentral.